GGACUACUGGGGUAUCUAAUCCUGUUUGCUCCCCACGCUUUCGCGCCUCAGCGUCAGUUACGGUCCAGAGAGCCGCCUUCGCCACCGGUGUUCUUCCCAAUAUCUACGAAUUUCACCUCUACACUGGGAAUUCCACUCUCCUCUCCCGUACUCCAGCACAUCAGUAUCAAGCGCACCUCCCAGGUUGAGCCCGGGGCUUUCACGCCUGACUUCUUGCGCCGCCUGCGCGCCCUUUACGCCCAGUAAUUCCGAACAACGCUCGCCCCCUUCGUAUUACCGCGGCUGCUGGCAC
RNAcentral lists this ribosomal RNA (292 nucleotides) under uncultured bacterium. RNAcentral describes it as "partial 16S ribosomal RNA". The record is from RNAcentral.